RNAcentral lists this ribosomal RNA (637 nucleotides) under Penicillium skrjabinii. RNAcentral's name for it is "eukaryotic LSU rRNA". It matches the Rfam family "Eukaryotic large subunit ribosomal RNA", at positions 1 to 649 of the family's 3401-position model. The record is from RNAcentral. Lineage: Eukaryota; Fungi; Ascomycota; Eurotiomycetes; Eurotiales; Aspergillaceae.
AGGUUGACCUCGGAUCAGGUAGGGAUACCCGCUGAACUUAAGCAUAUCAAUAAGCGGAGGAAAAGAAACCAACAGGGAUUGCCUCAGUAACGGCGAGUGAAGCGGCAAGAGCUCAAAUUUGAAAGCUGGCUCCUUCGGGGUCCGCAUUGUAAUUUGCAGAGGAUGCUUCGGGAGUGGCCCCCAUCUAAGUGCCCUGGAACGGGCCGUCAUAGAGGGUGAGAAUCCCGUCUGGGAUGGGGUGUCCACGCCCGUGUGAAGCUCCUUCGACGAGUCGAGUUGUUUGGGAAUGCAGCUCUAAAUGGGUGGUAAAUUUCAUCUAAAGCUAAAUACUGGCCGGAGACCGAUAGCGCACAAGUAGAGUGAUCGAAAGAUGAAAAGCACUUUGAAAAGAGAGUUAAACAGCACGUGAAAUUGUUGAAAGGGAAGCGCUUGCGACCAGACUCGCCCACGGGGUUCAGCCGGCAUUCGUGCCGGUGUACUUCCCCGCGGGCGGGCCAGCGUCGGUUUGGGCGGCCGGUCAAAGGCCCUCGGAAUGUAACGCCCCCCGGGGCGUCUUAUAGCCGAGGGUGCCAUGCGGCCAGCCCGGACCGAGGAACGCGCUUCGGCUCGGACGCUGGCAUAAUGGUCGUAAGCGACC